This is a non-coding RNA of Picea glauca (white spruce), 73 nucleotides long. The record is from Rfam. Lineage: Eukaryota; Viridiplantae; Streptophyta; Pinopsida; Pinales; Pinaceae.
GCGGGGAUAGCUCAGUUGGGAGAGGGUCAGACUGAAGAUCUGAAGGUCGCGUGUUCGAUCCACGUUCACCGCA